Molecule: ribosomal RNA, 496 nt
Filed under: uncultured bacterium
Lineage: Bacteria
Description: partial 16S ribosomal RNA
Rfam family: Bacterial small subunit ribosomal RNA
Source: RNAcentral
GACGAACGCUGGCGGCGUGCUUAACACAUGCAAGUCGAACGGGCCCGCCCCUGUUUUUGGGGGUGGGUUGAGUGGCGAACGGGUGAGUAUCACGUGAGUAACCUGCCCCCUGCUCCUGGAUAACUGCUUGAAAGGGCGGCUAAUACGGGGUGUGCCGGCUGGUCCGCAUGGGCCUGGUCGGGAUAGUUUCAUCUUCGGGUGUUUCGGUGGGGGAUGGGCUCGCGGCCUAUCAGCUUGUUGGUGGGGUGAUGGCCACCAAGGCGGUGACGGGUAGCCGGCCUGAGAGGGUGGGCGGCCACACUGGGACUGAGACACGGCCCAGACUCCUGCGGGAGGCAGCAGUGGGGGGUAUUGCACAAUGGGCGGAAGCCUGAUGCAGCGACGUCGCGAGGGAUGGAGGCCUUCGGGUUGUGAACCUCUUUCUCCGGUGGUGAAGGCCCUGUCCGUUGCGGCGGGGUUGACGGUAGCCGGGUAUGAAGCGCCGGCUAACUACGUG